RNAcentral lists this ribosomal RNA (460 nucleotides) under uncultured bacterium. Its description in RNAcentral is "partial 16S ribosomal RNA". It matches the Rfam family "Bacterial small subunit ribosomal RNA", at positions 338 to 795 of the family's 1533-position model. The record is from RNAcentral.
CCUACGGGAGGCAGCAGUGAGGAAUAUUGGUCAAUGGACGAGAGUCUGAACCAGCCAAGUAGCGUGAAGGAUGACUGCCCUAUGGGUUGUAAACUUCUUUUAUAUGGGAAUAAAACAGGGUAUGCAUACCCUCUUGUAUGUACCAUAUGAAUAAGGAUCGGCUAACUCCGUGCCAGCAGCCGCGGUAAUACGGAGGAUCCGAGCGUUAUCCGGAAUUAUUGGGUUUAAAGGGAGCGUAGGUGGAUUGUUAAGUCAGUUGUGAAAGUUUGCGGCUCAACCGUAAAAUUGCAGUUGAAACUGGCAGUCUAGAGUACAGUAGAGGUGGGCAGAAUUCGUGGUGUAGCGGUGAAAUGCUUAGAUAUGACGAAGAACUCCGAUUGCGAAGGCAGCCCACUGGACUGAAACUGACACUGAUGCUCGAAAGUGUGGGUAUCAAACAGGAUUAGAUACCCCAGUAGUC